AGCGCAUACGGUGGAUGCCUUGGCAGUCAGAGGCGAUGAAAGACGUGGAAGCCUGCGAUAAGGCUCGGGGAGCUGGCAAACAAGCUGUGAUCCGGGCAUCUCUGAAUGGGGAAACCCACCGGUCUUCGGACCGGUACCGUACGGUGAAUACAUAGCCGUACGGGGCGAACUCGGGGAACUGAAACAUCUAAGUACCCGAAGGAAAAGAAAUCAACCGAGAUUCCCUCAGUAGCGGCGAGCGAACGGGGACCAGCCCUUAAGCUGGACAACUGGUAGGAGAAGGCCCUGGAAAGAGCCGCCAUAGUGGGUGAUAGCCCCGUAUCCGAAACCUGAGUCCAGUGAAAUCGAGUAGGACGGGACACGAGACAUCCUGUCUGAACAUGGGGGGACCAUCCUCCAAGGCUAAAUACUCCUGACUGACCGAUAGUGAACCAGUACCGUGAGGGAAAGGCGAAAAGAACCCCUGUGAGGGGAGUGAAAUAGAUCCUGAAACCGUAUGCGUACAAGCAGUCGGAGCGGACUUGUUCCGUGACGGCGUACCUUUUGUAUAAUGGGUCAGCGACUUAUGUUCAGUGGCGAGGUUAACCGUUUAGGGGAGCCGUAGGGAAACCGAGUCUGAAUAGGGCGAUUUAGUCGCUGGGCAUAGACCCGAAACCGGGCGAUCUAUCCAUGAGCAGGUUGAAGGUUGAGUAACAUCAACUGGAGGACCGAACCCACUGUCGUUGAAAAGCCAGGGGAUGACUUGUGGAUCGGAGUGAAAGGCUAAUCAAGCCCGGAGAUAGCUGGUUCUCCCCGAAAGCUAUUUAGGUAGCGCCUCGGACGAAUACCACAGGGGGUAGAGCACUGUUUCGGCUAGGGGGUCAUCCCGACUUACCAACCCGAUGCAAACUCCGAAUACCUGUGAGUACUAUCCGGGAGACACACGGUGGGUGCUAACGUCCAUCGUGAAGAGGGAAACAACCCAGACCGCCAGCUAAGGUCCCCAAAUACCAGUUAAGUGGGAAACGAUGUGGGAAGGCUCAGACAGCUAGGAGGUUGGCUUAGAAGCAGCCAUCCUUUAAAGAAAGCGUAAUAGCUCACUAGUCGAGUCGGCCUGCGCGGAAGAUGUAACGGGGCUCAAACUGGUUACCGAAGCUGCGGCUGUGCACGCAAGUGCACGGGGUAGGGGAGCGUUCUGUAAGCCUGCGAAGGUGUGUCGAGAGGCAUGCUGGAGGUAUCAGAAGUGCGAAUGCUGACAUGAGUAACGACAAUGGGGGUGAAAAACCCCCACGCCGGAAGACCAAGGGUUCCUGCGCAACGCUAAUCGGCGCAGGGUGAGUCGGCCCCUAAGGCGAGACCGAAAGGUGUAGUCGAUGGGAAACGGAUUAAUAUUUCCGUACCUUGGAUAGCUGCGAUGGAGAGACGGAGAAGGCUAGGUGAGCCGGGCGACGGUUGUCCCGGUUUAAGCAUGUAGGCAGUGGGAUUAGGCAAAUCCGGUCCCACAAUGCCGAGACGCGACGACGACUGCCCUUUUAGGGCGGGAAGUCAUUGAUGCCCUGCUUCCAGGAAAAUCUUCUAAGCUUCAGGCUAUUCGAGACCGUACCCCAAACCGACACAGGUGGUCAGGUAGAGAAUACCAAGGCGCUUGAGAGAACUCGGGUAAAGGAACUAGGCAAAAUGGUGCCGUAACUUCGGGAGAAGGCACGCCGGUGGUAUGUGACGCCCUUCGCGGGUUGAGCAGAAGCCGGUCGAAGAUACCAGGCCCCUGCGACUGUUUAUUAAAAACACAGCACUGUGCAAACACGAAAGUGGACGUAUACGGUGUGACGCCUGCCCGGUGCCGGAAGGUUAAUUGAUGGGGUUAUCUUCGGAGAAGCUCUUGAUCGAAGCCCCGGUAAACGGCGGCCGUAACUAUAACGGUCCUAAGGUAGCGAAAUUCCUUGUCGGGUAAGUUCCGACCUGCACGAAUGGCGUAACGAUGGGGGCGCUGUCUCUACCCGAGACUCAGUGAAAUUGAAAUCGCCGUGAAGAUGCGGUGUAUCCGCGGCUAGACGGAAAGACCCCGUGAACCUUUACUAUAGCUUCACAGUGAACUUUGAGCAUGUUUGUGUAGGAUAGCUGGGAGGCUUUGAAACCAGGACGCCAGUUCUGGUGGAGCCAACCUUGAAAUACCAGCCUGACCUGUUUGAGGUUCUAACUUCGACCCCUUAUCGGGGUUAAGGACACUGUGUGGUGGGUAGUUUGACUGGGGCGGUCUCCUCCCAAAGCGUAACGGAGGAGCACAAAGGUGGGCUAAGCAUGGUCGGACAUCAUGCGGUUAGUGUAAUGGCACAAGCCCGCUUAACUGCGAGACAGACACGUCGAGCAGGUACGAAAGUAGGUCAUAGUGAU
RNAcentral lists this ribosomal RNA (2370 nucleotides) under seawater metagenome. RNAcentral's name for it is "bacterial LSU rRNA". It matches the Rfam family "Bacterial large subunit ribosomal RNA", at positions 14 to 2419 of the family's 2925-position model. The record is from RNAcentral.